GUUNAAGACUGCGGACGGCUCACNAAAUCAGUUAUNAUCUGCUCGAAUGGUCAAGGUUAUUGGAUAACCGUGGGAAAUCUAGAGCUAAUACAUGCACCUCGACACAUGGGCAACUGUGUGUCUGCAUUUAUUAGAAUAAUACCAACCGUGUGAGCAAUCACAUGUGGUGAAUCUAGAUAACUGUGCAGAUCGUAUGGCCUCGAGCCGGCGACAUUUCGAUUGAGUUUCUGCUCUAUCAACUAGAUGGCAGUGUAAGGCACUGUCAUGGUGAUCACGGAUAACGGGGGAUCAGGGUUCGAUUCCGGAGAGGGAGCCUGAGAAACGGCUACCACAUCCAAGGAAGGCAGCAGGCGCGCAAAUUACCCAAUCCAGACAAUGGGAGGUGGUGACGAAAAGUACCGAAUGGCAGCCUAUGGUUGUCAGUUUGGAAUGAAAACAAUUUAAGUAAUUGAAUUGAGAAACAACUGGAGGGCAAGUCUGGUGCCAGCAGCCGCGGUAAUUCCAGCUCCAGUAGCGUAUCUCAACGUUGCUGCGCUUAAAACGCUCGUAGUUGGAUCACGCACUGUUUGUUGGUGAACCACAGGGGUUUGCAUCACACUCUCCAUCGUCGGUCGAUAUGUCCUCAUGUCGUAUCGGGGUGGAGGGAGCACGCUCUUGUGGUUAUUAGCCAGCAAGCAGUAAUUGCACGUGGGGAUGGAUAUUGGUCUUUAGUGCACUGAUAUCCGUGUCCCACGGGGUGUGCCUUGAGUAAAUCAGAGUGCUUAAAGCAGGCUUUACGCUUGAAUGUUUUUAGCAUGGAACGAACAAUAGUGUAUGGUGUGUGUUGAGAUCGGGUCAGUCGACUUGUCGGCUGCUCCGCAACGCACGACACCGACCACCAAUUACGGAUGUUGGUUCCGUAUUGGGGUACUGAUUAAGAGGAGCGGUUGGGGGCAUUGGUAUUUGGCAGCGAGAGGUGAAAUUCUUGGACCUGCUAAGGACUAACAAAUGCGAAGGCAUCUGUCCAGACCGUAUCCAUUAAUCAAGAACGAUAGUGAGAGGUUCGAAGACGAUCAGAUACCGUCCUAGUUCUCACUGUAAACGAUGCCGACCCGGGAUCAGUUUGGAGCAUUAUUCCACGCUCGAGGUUGGUCCCCCUGGGAAACCUAAAGUCUUUCGGUUGCGGGGGGAGUAUGGUCGCAAGGCUGAAACUUAAAGGAAUUGACGGAAGGGCACCACCAGGGGUGGAGCCUGCGGCUUAAUUUGACUCAACACGGGAAAACUUACCUGGUCCGGACAUCAAAAGGAUUUACAGACUAAAAGAUCUUUAAUGAUAUGGUGAUUGGUGGUGCAUGGCCGUUCUUAGUUCGUGGAGUGAUCUGUCAGGCCAAUUCCGGUAACGAACGAGACCACAAUCUCCACUUGAAGAAUCGGAAAAGGCGUCGGUUCACUAAUCUUGAGGCAACGAGAGGUUAGCAAAGUGACGUUAUCGGCAAUGCGGAGACUUCUGUUGAGUAUUUGGCUGGGUGGCAACACUUAGCUGGAGGUAGGCAGUGGUUCGCCCGUAUUCCUUCNGGCANGACAAUAUGCGGUUCACCCGAAUUGUGUAUUGUAUCGUGGAGAGACAACGGAACAUAUAACAAAAUCCGAGGAAGNGUGGNUAUAACAGGUCUGUGAUGCCCUUAGAUGUUCAGGGCUGCACGCGCGCUACAAUGGCGGNGACAANGAGUUUCUGGAUCGAAAGAUUUGGGUAACCUUACAAUCGCCGCCGUGAUGGGAAUUGACGUUUGUAAAUACGUCAUGAAAGAGGAAUCCNUAGUAAGUGUGAUUCAUCAAAUCCCNNGNUCCNNGAGUCAANCCCCUGGGUNCCAAGGGGANACCAAUGCCCCCUAACCAGCUCCUNUUAAUCUUAAAAUAACCCCAAUACGGAACCAACAUC
Molecule: ribosomal RNA, 1918 nt
Filed under: Myxobolus tambaquiensis
Lineage: Eukaryota; Metazoa; Cnidaria; Myxozoa; Bivalvulida; Myxobolidae
Description: SSU rRNA
Rfam family: Eukaryotic small subunit ribosomal RNA
Source: RNAcentral